RNAcentral lists this ribosomal RNA (110 nucleotides) under Pseudomonas syringae pv. actinidiae. Lineage: Bacteria; Pseudomonadati; Pseudomonadota; Gammaproteobacteria; Pseudomonadales; Pseudomonadaceae. The record is from RNAcentral.
ACCAUAGAACAUUGGAACCACCUGAUCCCAUCCCGAACUCAGCAGUGAAACGAUGUAUCGCCGAUGGUAGUGUGGGGUUUCCCCAUGUGAGCUGUCUAUUAUAAACAUAU